GCAGGUGUAAUCUAGCGGUUAGGAUUUUAGCCUUCCAAGCUAAACACCCGGGUUCGAAUCCCGGCACCUGCA
This 72-nucleotide transfer RNA is filed under the name Methanomassiliicoccales archaeon. RNAcentral describes it as "tRNA-Gly". It matches the Rfam family "tRNA". Rfam says of the family: Transfer RNA (tRNA) molecules are approximately 80 nucleotides in length. Their secondary structure includes four short double-helical elements and three loops (D, anti-codon, and T loops). Lineage: Archaea; Methanobacteriati; Thermoplasmatota; Thermoplasmata; Methanomassiliicoccales. The record is from RNAcentral. RNAcentral also lists the same sequence under 2 other names.